CCCUUAGAUGUUCUGGGCCGCACGCGCGCUACACUGACGAAUGCAACGAGCUUAUAACCUUGGCCGAAAGGUCUGGGUAAUCUCCAAAUUUCGUCGUGAUGGGGAUAGAUUAUUGCAAUUAUUAAUCUUCAACGAGGAAUGCCUAGUAAGCGCAAGUCAUCAGCUUGCGUUGAUUACGUCCCUGCCCUUUGUACACACCGCCCGUCGCUCCUACCGAUUGAAUGGUCCGGUGAAUCGUUCGGACCGUGGCCUUUGGACGGUUCGCCGUCUGUUGGCUGCGGGAAGUUCGUUAAACCUUAUCAUUUAGAGGAAGGAGAANUCGUAACA
RNAcentral lists this ribosomal RNA (327 nucleotides) under uncultured eukaryote. RNAcentral's name for it is "partial 18S ribosomal RNA". It matches the Rfam family "Eukaryotic small subunit ribosomal RNA", at positions 1470 to 1796 of the family's 1831-position model. The record is from RNAcentral.